This 484-nucleotide ribosomal RNA is filed under the name uncultured bacterium. RNAcentral describes it as "bacterial SSU rRNA". It matches the Rfam family "Bacterial small subunit ribosomal RNA", at positions 28 to 526 of the family's 1533-position model. The record is from RNAcentral.
GACGAACGCUGGCGGCGUGCUUAACACAUGCAAGUCGAGCGGUAAGGCCCCUUCGGGGGUACACGAGCGGCGAACGGGUGAGUAACACGUGAGCAAUCUGCCCUUCACUUCGGGAUAACCACCGGAAACGGUGGCUAAUACCGGAUACGACCAUCCCGGGCAUCCGGUGGUGGUGGAAAGUUCCGGCGGUGGAGGAUGAGCUCGCGGCCUAUCAGCUUGUUGGUGGGGUAAUGGCCUACCAAGGCGACGACGGGUAGCCGGCCUGAGAGGGUGACCGGCCACACUGGGACUGAGACACGGCCCAGACUCCUACGGGAGGCAGCAGUGGGGAAUAUUGGACAAUGGGCGAAAGCCUGAUCCAGCAACGCCGCGUGAGGGAUGACGGCCUUCGGGUUGUAAACCUCUUUCAGCAGGGACGAAGCGCAAGUGACGGUACCUGCAGAAGAAGGACCGGCCAACUACGUGCCAGCCGCCGCCGUAACAC